RNAcentral lists this ribosomal RNA (399 nucleotides) under uncultured bacterium. Its description in RNAcentral is "bacterial SSU rRNA". It matches the Rfam family "Bacterial small subunit ribosomal RNA", at positions 356 to 772 of the family's 1533-position model. The record is from RNAcentral.
CGGGAAUUUUGGGCAAUGGGCGAAAGCCUGACCCAGCAACGCCGCGUGAAGGAUGAAGUCCUUCGGGAUGUAAACUUCGUAAGAAUGGGAAGAAUAAAUGACGGUAACAUUUGUAAGGCCCGGCUAACUACGUGCCAGCAGCCGCGGUAAUACGUAGGGACCAAGCGUUGUUCGGAUUUACUGGGCGUAAAGGGAGCGUAGGCGGCGCGUCAAGUCAGCUGUGAAAUCUUAAGGCUUAACCUUAAGCGGUCAGCUGAUACUGUCGUGCUAGAGUACAGAAGGGGCAAUCGGAAUUCUUGGUGUAGCGGUGAAAUGCGUAGAUAUCAAGAGGAACACCUGAGGUGAAGACGGGUUGCUGGGCUGAUACUGACGCUGAGGCUCGAAAGCCAGGGGAGCAAA